This 253-nucleotide ribosomal RNA is filed under the name uncultured Blautia sp. RNAcentral's name for it is "partial 16S ribosomal RNA". It matches the Rfam family "Bacterial small subunit ribosomal RNA", at positions 524 to 776 of the family's 1533-position model. Lineage: Bacteria; Bacillati; Bacillota; Clostridia; Lachnospirales; Lachnospiraceae. The record is from RNAcentral.
UACGUAGGGGGCAAGCGUUAUCCGGAUUUACUGGGUGUAAAGGGAGCGUAGGUGGCAAGGCAAGUCAGAUGUGAAAAUCCGGGGCCCAACCCCGGAACUGCAUUGGAAACUGUAUUUCUAGAGUGUCGGAGAGGCAAGUGGAAUUCCUAGUGUAGCGGUGAAAUGCGUAGAUAUUAGGAGGAACACCAGUGGCGAAGGCGGCUUACUGGACUGUAACUGACGUUGAGGCUCGAAAGCGUGGGGAGCAAACAGG